AACGAACGCUGGCGGCAUGCCUAACACAUGCAAGUCGAACGAGACCUUCGGGUCUAGUGGCGCACGGGUGCGUAACGCGUGGGAACCUGCCCUUAGGUUCGGAAUAACUCCCCGAAAGGGGUGCUAAUACCGGAUAAUGUCUUCGGACCAAAGAUUUAUCGCCUUUGGAUGGGCCCGCGUUGGAUUAGCUAGUUGGUAGGGUAAAAGCCUACCAAGGCGACGAUCCAUAGCUGGUCUGAGAGGAUGAUCAGACACACUGGGACUGAGACACGGCCCAGACUCCUACGGGAGGCAGCAGUGGGGAAUAUUGGACAAUGGGCGAAAGCCUGAUCCAGCAAUGCCGCGUGAGUGAUGAAGGCCUUAGGGUUGUAAAGCUCUUUUACCCGGGAUGAUAAUGACAGUACCGGGAGAAUAAGCUCCGGCUAACUCCGUG
This 433-nucleotide ribosomal RNA is filed under the name uncultured bacterium. Its description in RNAcentral is "partial 16S ribosomal RNA". It matches the Rfam family "Bacterial small subunit ribosomal RNA", at positions 29 to 507 of the family's 1533-position model. The record is from RNAcentral.